RNAcentral lists this ribosomal RNA (253 nucleotides) under uncultured bacterium. RNAcentral describes it as "partial 16S ribosomal RNA". It matches the Rfam family "Bacterial small subunit ribosomal RNA", at positions 524 to 776 of the family's 1533-position model. The record is from RNAcentral.
UACGAAGGGGGCUAGCGUUGCUCGGAAUCACUGGGCGUAAAGGGUGCGUAGGCGGGUCUUUAAGUCAGGGGUGAAAUCCUGGAGCUCAACUCCAGAACUGCCUUUGAUACUGAAGAUCUUGAGUUCGGGAGAGGUGAGUGGAACUGCGAGUGUAGAGGUGAAAUUCGUAGAUAUUCGCAAGAACACCAGUGGCGAAGGCGGCUCACUGGCCCGAUACUGACGCUGAGGCACGAAAGCGUGGGGAACAAACAGG